Long non-coding RNA from Anguilla rostrata (American eel), 1082 nucleotides. RefSeq lists it as uncharacterized. The record is from RefSeq and is a predicted model, not a curated record. NCBI's taxonomy places the organism in Eukaryota, Metazoa, Chordata, Actinopteri, Anguilliformes, Anguillidae. The transcript has 2 exons.
GCAUUCCUCUGGCAUUUAAAUAAAGCUUCUCUGGCUCAGCGUUGUGCUGUUGAAUGUUCCCAUCUCGUUCCUUUUGCCCAUUCUUUAGUUAUGCAUUUAUUUAUUAAUUUGCAGACAGGAAAACAUUCAAAGUUCAUUGAAUUUCCCGGGAGACGCUGCAGCUGUAUCCCCUAAUUUGGCCGAAACCACAGAUGGCGGAAUCAGGCAGCCAGCAGCUCUGCCAAUGAGACUGCUUAUAAAUUAUAUUCUCGGGGUCCAUUGUUUCUGGGUACAAUAAGCCAUUUGAUUAGCAGUAAUUAGAUUUCCCCGUUUGGUCGGUCUGUCGCCGGUACGGCACGAGCGUUUAAGCCACUUUUAUUUUAGAGGACGGGAUUGCGGUUUCCUCAGAUUCCUGCGCUUAUCGGGACAGCUUAGUCCCACACUUUUGACCGUUUGCCAGAACGAGCCUUCGUGAGCCGCAUUGUACUCGGGACAUUUAAUCAGCGAGAUGCCAAUCAACAGAUAAAACGACUUAAUCCGGAAUGAAGCAUUGCAAAUGAAAUGUAACGGCCUGCCUGGCAGCGGAACAAGCGAGGCGACCAGCCUUCUAAUGUGGGCUAAAGAAGCUGCCAUUUUCAGAAGGUCAUCAGAGCCAUUGUGUAGUUUGUUUCAUUUUUUUUUUUUUUUUGCUCUAUGAAUUUUGUAAAACAUGGAGGGAAUUUUAAAAAGCUGUUUUUUUCCCCCAGUCUACGGUCUCAAAUCUGCCUAAAAUUUGUUUGAGUGAAAUGUUGUGUUUGAUGUGACUUUUGUUCCAUAAUUGUGUAAACUUAUGAAUUCAGUGUGCUACAUAGGAAAACUACUCGUCAGAAAGUAAUCACCAAUUACUGAAAUGCCAUACUCUGACAAAUGUACCAUGCUUUUUAUUAGACAAUACAUUCAUUAUUUUUUAACUACUGAAAGCGACUGCCAAAAAAAUCAAUCCCAAUUCUCCAGACUAUGGAACAAGCUUGUCAUAAAUCAUAUUGGAUUUCUGUUUACAUUUACAUGAAGAACAGCGAUGGACAGAGAACCCAUAAUUAUACAUACAUAUAUAAUAGUUUAUC